UACGUAGGGGGCGAGCGUUGUCCGGAUUCAUUGGGCGUAAAGCGCGUGCAGGCGGCCUGGUAAGUCGGCCGUGAAAGCGCCGGGCUCAACUCGGCGAGGUCGGGCGAGACUGCGAGGCUAGAGGCUGGUAGAGGGCGGUGGAAUUCCGGGUGUAGUGGUGGAAUGCGUAGAGCUCCGGAGGAACACCAGUGGCGAAGGCGGCCGCCUGGGCCAGUCCUGACGCUGAGCCGCGAAAGCGUGGGGAGCGAUCCGG
This 253-nucleotide ribosomal RNA is filed under the name uncultured bacterium. Its description in RNAcentral is "partial 16S ribosomal RNA". It matches the Rfam family "Bacterial small subunit ribosomal RNA", at positions 524 to 776 of the family's 1533-position model. The record is from RNAcentral.